AUUAGUGGGGUCCGCUUUGCCGAUCCUUGACGUGAUAAGAUGUUUUCUACGUCUUGGGUUUGGCACUGUCACUUGGGCACCUGCUUCUAACCGUCUCAUCGACAAUGAUGGCGUUCCGGUCACCGCCGUUCAAUCGGCGGGAGGCUUGACCCACAAAAAACCUUGACCUCAAAUCGGGUGAGACUACCCGCUGAACUUAA
This 200-nucleotide unclassified non-coding RNA is filed under the name soil metagenome. Its description in RNAcentral is "partial contains internal transcribed spacer 2 and large subunit ribosomal RNA". The record is from RNAcentral.